Molecule: long non-coding RNA, 445 nt
Organism: Melanotaenia boesemani (Boeseman's rainbowfish)
Lineage: Eukaryota; Metazoa; Chordata; Actinopteri; Atheriniformes; Melanotaeniidae
Exons: 6
Source: RefSeq, a predicted model, not a curated record
AGCGGGUGUAUCAGCUGUCAUCGCAGCCCAGCAAGACAAAAAUCCUGAUGGAAGCUUUGUGUGGAAGUAUGCAAGAUGGUGCGUCCUUCCUCAGACUUGCUUGCAGAUGUUGAGUGAAGUCACAUGGCCACGAUGAAAGAUCACACUCAUCAGGCUGGCUUGCAGCUGAAAGCACAGUGUCAUUACCUGGCCACGUGGAGGACCGCAGUCAGCAGAUGCUGUGCAGGAAGUGGUGGCUUCAAAAUGCAGACCAGGGGCCUUAGAAAUCCCAUGUACGCAUUUCAAGUAUUCAGUGAUUUUUAAGGAUUCUCAGCAAGCAGAGAGCAGAGAUGAUAAACCCUCUCAAUAAAGAGAGGCAGCGAACCGAUGGGUGAAAGACGACCUUAAAGAGUACACUGGGAGCUGAAGGAGCUGACGCUGAAAUGGUGGCUGCAUGUCCAUCUAA